UGGGGAAUUUUGCGCAAUGGACGAAAGUCUGACGCAGCAACGCCGCGUGGAGGAUGAAGCCCUUUGGGGUGUAAACUUCUGUUGAUCGAGAAGAAAAAUUAAUGGUUAAUACCCAUUAUAAUGACGUUAUCGAUAAAGAAAGCACCGGCUAAUCUCGUGCCAGCAGCCGCGGUAAUACGAGAGGUGCAAGCGUUAUUCGGAAUUAUUGGGCGUAAAGGGCGCGUAGGCGGUUUUAUAAGUUUUUUGUUUAAGGUCCCGGCCUAACUGGGAAAAUGCAAAAAAUACUGUAAGGCUAGAGUAUAAUAGAGAGAAGUGGAAUUUUCGGAGUAGCGGUUAAAUGCGUAGAUCUCGAAAGGAACGCCAAUGGCGAAGGCAGCUUCUUGGAUUAUUACUGACGCUGAGGCGCGAAGGCGUGGGGAGCAAACAGG
This 428-nucleotide ribosomal RNA is filed under the name uncultured bacterium. Its description in RNAcentral is "bacterial SSU rRNA". It matches the Rfam family "Bacterial small subunit ribosomal RNA", at positions 355 to 776 of the family's 1533-position model. The record is from RNAcentral.